This 1424-nucleotide ribosomal RNA is filed under the name uncultured organism. Its description in RNAcentral is "bacterial SSU rRNA". It matches the Rfam family "Bacterial small subunit ribosomal RNA". The record is from RNAcentral.
GAACGCUAGCGGGAGGCUUAACACAUGCAAGUCGAGGGGUAAGUUUCUCUUCGGAGAAUACACGACCGGCGCACGGGUGAGUAACGCGUAUGCAACCUACCUAUAACACAAGGAUAGCUCCCGGAAACGGGAAUUAAUACUUGAUGACAUUCAAAGAUGGCAUCAUCAAUGAAUCAAAGUUCCGGCGGUUAUAGAUGGGCAUGCGUGACAUUAGCUAGUUGGUGAGGUAGAGGCUCACCAAGGCGACGAUGUCUAGGGGGUCUGAGAGGAUGAUCCCCCACACUGGUACUGAGACACGGACCAGACUCCUACGGGAGGCAGCAGUGAGGAAUAUUGCGCAAUGGAGGAAACUCUGACGCAGCCAUCCCGCGUGCAGGAUUGACGGCCCUAUGGGUUGUAAACUGCUUUUCUAUACCAAGAAACACCGAUACGUGUAUCGGUUUGCCGGUAGUAUAGGAAUAAGCAUCGGCUAACUCCGUGCCAGCAGCCGCGGUAACACGGAAGCCCCGAGCGUUGUUCGGAUUCAUUGGGCGUAAAGGGUGCGUAGGCGGCGCGGAAAGUCCGGCGUGAAAGGCAGGGGCUCAACCUCUGGACUGCGUUGGAUACUUCCGUGCUUGAGGACUGGAGGGGAGACUGGAAUUCACGGUGUAGCAGUGAAAUGCGUAGAUAUCGUGAGGAAGACCGGUGGCGAAGGCGAGUCUCUGGACAGAUCCUGACGCUGAGGCACGAAGGCUGGGGGAGCGAACAGGAUUAGAUACCCUGGUAGUCCCAGCAGUAAACGAUGUGAGCUUGAUGUGGGGGGAUUCGACCCCUUCCGUGUCGAAGCUAACGCGAUAAGCUCACCGCCUGAGGAGUACGGCCGCAAGGCUAAAACUCAAAGAAAUUGACGGGGACCCGCACAAGCGGUGGAGUAUGUGGCUUAAUUCGAUGCAACGCGAAGAACCUUACCUGGCCUUGACAUGCAUUGUGUCGUCGGUGAAAGCCGGCUAGUCCUGGAAACAGGACGCUUUGCACAGGUGCUGCAUGGCUGUCGUCAGCUCGUGUCGUGAGAUGUUGGGUUAAGUCCCGCAACGAGCGCAACCCUUGUGGUCAGUUACUAACCGGCUUAGCCGGAGGACUCUGGCCAGACUGCCCUGUCAAACGGGGAGGAAGGUGGGGACGACGUCAAGUCAGUAUGGCCCUUAUGGCCAGGGCUGCACACGUACUACAAUGCCCGGUACAAUGUGAACCGAAACCGCGAGGUGGAGGAAAUCGCUCUUGAAAACCGGGCCCAGUUCGGAUUGGAGUCUGCAACUCGACUCCAUGAAGUCGGAAUCGCUAGUAAUGGCGUAUCAGCAACGACGCCGUGAAUACGUUCCCGGGUCUUGUACACACCGCCCGUCACAUCAUGGAAGUCUCCUGUACCCGAAGCACGUGCGCCAACC